Molecule: transfer RNA, 77 nt
Filed under: Chloroflexota bacterium
Lineage: Bacteria; Bacillati; Chloroflexota
Description: tRNA-Pro
Rfam family: tRNA
About the family: Transfer RNA (tRNA) molecules are approximately 80 nucleotides in length. Their secondary structure includes four short double-helical elements and three loops (D, anti-codon, and T loops).
Source: RNAcentral
CGGGGUGUGGCGCAGCUUGGUAGCGCAUUGCACUGGGGGUGCAAAGGUCACAGGUUCAAAUCCUGUCACCCCGACCA